Molecule: non-coding RNA, 70 nt
Organism: Dipodomys ordii (Ord's kangaroo rat)
Lineage: Eukaryota; Metazoa; Chordata; Mammalia; Rodentia; Heteromyidae
Source: Rfam
GGGAAGGUGGCUCAGUGGUAGAGUGCUUGCCUUGUAUGCAUGAGGCCCUGGGUUUGAUUCCUCUGAACCA